GAUGAACGCUGGCGGCGUGCUUAACACAUGCAAGUCGAACGUUGAACCGGGUGCUUGCACUCGGGGAUUAGUGGCGAACGGGUGAGUAACACGUGAGCAACCUGCCCCUGACUCUGGGAUAAGCGCUGGAAACGGCGUCUAAUACUGGAUAUGUCCCGUCACCGCAUGGUGUGCGGGUGGAAAGAUUUUUCGGUUGGGAAUGGGCUCGCGGCCUAUCAGCUUGUUGGUGAGGUAAUGGCUCACCAAGGCGUCGACGGGUAGCCGGCCUGAGAGGGUGACCGGCCACACUGGGACUGGGACACGGCCCAGACUCCUACGGGAGGCAGCAGUGGGGAAUAUUGCACAAUGGGCGGAAGCCUGAUGCAGCAACGCCGCGUGAGGGAUGACGGCCUUCGGGUCGUAAACCUCUUUUAGCAGGGAAGAAGCGAGAGUGACGGUACCUGCAGAAAAAGCACCGGCUAACUACGUGCCAGCAGCCGCCGUAA
RNAcentral lists this ribosomal RNA (485 nucleotides) under uncultured bacterium. RNAcentral's name for it is "partial 16S ribosomal RNA". It matches the Rfam family "Bacterial small subunit ribosomal RNA", at positions 28 to 523 of the family's 1533-position model. The record is from RNAcentral.